Molecule: ribosomal RNA, 280 nt
Filed under: Apicomplexa sp.
Lineage: Eukaryota; Apicomplexa
Description: partial small subunit ribosomal RNA
Rfam family: Bacterial small subunit ribosomal RNA
Source: RNAcentral
GAUGAACGCACAAGACGUGCCUAACACAUGCAAAUCGAAUGAAAAUUAUUGUUUUCAUGGUGAACGGGUGAGUAAUACAUAAGAAUCAGCUUUUAGAUAAGGCAUAAAAGAGUAAUAUCUUGGUAAUUCCUUAUAUGCGCAGCAGUGCUUAAAAAGGGGAAUCCCGUCUAAAAACGAGCUUAUGCCUGAUUAGCUAGUUGGCGAGUUAAACGCUCACCAAGGCGAAGAUCAGUAGCUGGCCUGAGAGGGCGGCCAGCCACAUUGGGACUGAGACACGGCC